UUGUUUAUAGUCAAUAGCUUAA
This 22-nucleotide non-coding RNA is filed under the name Arabidopsis thaliana (thale cress). Lineage: Eukaryota; Viridiplantae; Streptophyta; Magnoliopsida; Brassicales; Brassicaceae. The record is from RNAcentral.